GUGCGAAGGUAGCGCAAUCACUUGUCUUUUAAAUGGAGACCUGUAUGAAUGGCAUAACGAGGGCUUAACUGUCUCCUCUUUCAAGUCAAUGAAAUUGAUCUCCCCGUGCAGAAGCGGGGAUAAAACCAUAAGACGAGAAGACCCUAUGGAGCUUUAGACACCAAGGCGGCCCACAGUUAAUGACACCAGAACAAAGGACCAAACAACUCAACACUCCGCCCUAAUGUCUUUGGUUGGGGCGACCGCGGGGUAGUAAAAAACUCCCGCGUGGAACGAGAGGACUCCCCUCUUACAACUAAGAGCUACCGCUCUAAGAAACAGAAUUUCUGACCUAUCAGAUCCGGCCUGUAGCCGAUCAACGGAACGAGUUACCCUAGGGAUAACAGCGCAAUCCCCUUUUAGAGCCCAUAUCGACAAGGGGGUUUACGACCUCGAUGUUGGAUCAGGACAUCCUAAUGGUGCAGCCGCU
Molecule: ribosomal RNA, 469 nt
Filed under: Branchiostegus albus (white horsehead)
Lineage: Eukaryota; Metazoa; Chordata; Actinopteri; Malacanthidae
Description: partial 16S ribosomal RNA
Rfam family: Bacterial large subunit ribosomal RNA
Source: RNAcentral